GAUGAACGCUAGCGGCAGGCCUAAUACAUGCAAGCCGAACGGCAAGUUUGAUAGCAAUAUUGGACCUAGAGUGGCGCAAGGGUGCGUAACACGUAUGCAACCUGCCCGCGACAGGAGGAUAGCUCCCCGAAAGGGGAAUUAACUCUCCAUAACACCAUGAGAAGGCAUCUGAUUAUGGUUAAACCGCAAGGGGUCGCGGAUGGGCAUGCGGUUGAUUAGCUAGUUGGCGGGGUAAAGGCCCACCACGGCGGUGAUCAAUAGGGGUUCUGAGAGGAAGGUCCCCCAAACUGGCACUGAGAUACGGGCCAGACUCGUGCGGGAGGCAGCAGUAGGGAAUAUUGGACAAUGGUUGCAAGACUGAACCAGCCAUGCCGCGUGCAGGAAGAAGGCCUUCUGGGUCGUAAACUGCUUUUACGUGUGGAUAAAAUACCCGUGCGCGGGGAAUUGAAGGUAACAGGGGAAUAAGCCACGGCUAACUACGUG
Molecule: ribosomal RNA, 483 nt
Filed under: uncultured bacterium
Lineage: Bacteria
Description: partial 16S ribosomal RNA
Rfam family: Bacterial small subunit ribosomal RNA
Source: RNAcentral